CUGCAGCCAAUUAAGCCGACCAUACCACCCUCCCCAUGACGCCCGGUGUGCAGUGGCUGCAAACAGCAGCCUCCUGGGUAGUGUGUGCAGCCUGUUGCUUGUAUUGGCUGCCCUAAGGGACCCUGGAGACAGCC
Molecule: small nucleolar RNA, 134 nt
Filed under: Erinaceus europaeus (western European hedgehog)
Lineage: Eukaryota; Metazoa; Chordata; Mammalia; Eulipotyphla; Erinaceidae
Description: Small nucleolar RNA SNORA70
Rfam family: Small nucleolar RNA SNORA70
About the family: snoRNA U70 seems to be exclusive to mammals and is a member of the H/ACA class of snoRNA which contain H (ANANNA) and ACA box motifs. H/ACA box snoRNAs are involved in the conversion of uridines to pseudouridines (5-ribosyluracil) a constituent of structural RNAs (transfer, ribosomal, small nuclear, and small nucleolar).
Source: Rfam by way of RNAcentral